AGUUAUUACUAUAAUUCAGACAUCUAAAUGAAAAUAAAGCUAGUAAGCCAUCACGUUUGCGCACGCUACUUGCGUGUCGUGUGCAGCAUCACUGUUCAUGCAGAAAGCUUGUAGGCUAGUUGCUAACAUUAGCUUGUGGGUUUAUAGUAGCACAUAUAAAUCAUAACGACACAACCAUAUUGGAAUCUAAACACAUGUUUUAUUAUACUAACAGCGCAUUUAGUUGUUUCUUAUGUUUAAUAACUAAAAUGUGUGUGAUUUGGGAAAGUGCUGAUGCUAGAAGCAGGUUUAUUAACAUCAUGUGUGAGAAUUACAGCUGGUCAAUCACAGCAAACGACACAUUAAAGAACCAUGUGUCUUGUUUUACGACUCAUUUGUAAACCUUUAGAAAAUGUUUACCUGGUUUGAUGUUAGAAAAACUUGUUACACUAUAAACAACAAAGACAACACCUCCACAAAGUUGAAACUGGAUUUUAUUAAUUUGUUAGGUUGUAGAAAGAAAAAAGAAUUUUGAAAUGGCCAAAAAUUAUUAUCCAUGCUGAUAUUUAAUGCUGCUCAUAAGUGUGGCCUUUCUGUCUUACACGCUGCUUUUAAUCUACACAGUUUAUUCUUUAAUGAAUACAGAUUAACACAUAUAUCAGUUUUUAUUGCAUUCACUUCUCCAAGUAUUGAUUAAAAAAUCAGAAAUACAAUUGAGCGUUUUUUUCUCAGAAAAAGACACAUUUAUUUAAUUUUUAGACAUGUCUUGAACAGAACAAAGUAAUACAUAAAAAAAUGUUGGAGUUGUUUUUUUACCCUUGAUGUCGGCUCUUCACAUCAUUGUGGAGCAGAGUUCACCAAGCAUUCAAUUUUUCACCCGCUAUAGGGAAGGAGAGUUGGGUUUAGACCGUGGUGAGACAGUAGCCCUACUGAUGAUGUGUUGUUGCAGCAGGUGAGAGGCAUCAUGUGGGACUAUUGGGUGGUUGAGGUGUGUGUCACGUGAACCUCAGAAACAGGCUUGGAAAGCAAAGGUGGAGGUAGAAACCAGUCAUGGUGAAGUAUUCAUGACCCUGUAGCAGAGUAAGGAGGAACAGAGGCCUGGUUCAGGAACAGGCGAUCUCUGAUGACCCUCUGAAAGAGGCUGAAGGGUGCCUGUGGGCCCCCCUAUGCACUUGGGCGAUGGUUGAGGAACAUCUAGUAGAACCCAAAAGAUUCUGGUGGUUGAGGAGUUUCUCUUGGGACCCUCAAGAACUAUUUCAGUACUGUUGGUGUUCUCUAACUGUCUUGCUGCAUCAACCAGUUGUUGUCUGAUCAUCUGAGCGUGAAAAGUAAAAGUAAAGUCAGUUUGGGGAAGCCUGGGCGAUGGUGAGAUCAUCCACUCUUACCUUGGCUUGAGCUUCCCUAAAGAGGUCCACUGGCCCCUCCAGCACUAGCAUGAAAUCAGAAUUCAUCAGUAAUCUAGAAAGAUUUCAGUUAGAUUAAAACGGUGCAUACUUGUUCUGUAGCAUCUGAAAAGCUGAAAGUCAGAAAUGGAGAGGUGCAAAUUCUUAUUUAUUCUGUUUUAAUUCCAUAAACAACAGCCUUGCUCUAAUGGGAACCCAACCCCAUGAACAAGGGGUUUAUUAGAAGUCAAAUGUCAUGCUGCUGUUGGCUCCAAGUUAAACCUUUUCUUCUGUCUCUAGGAAUAUCUUGAAUUUCAGGGUAUCUUUAUAUCCCGCUCUUCCCUCUCUGGCCACCAUGGUGGACUUCCUGGCAGACAAUAACCUGUGUGGCCAGGCCAUCCUCAGGAUAGUUUCCAGAGGGAAUGCCAUCAUAGCAGAGCUUCUGCGUCUCUCUGACUUCAUCCCUCCAGUUUUUAGGCUGAAGGACAAAAAUGACCAGCAGAAAUAUGGAGACAUCAUCUGUGACUUCAGCUACUUUAAGGGUGCGGAGUAUUACGAGGGGAAGCUGGAAGCCAAAGCAGAGCUUCAGGACCUGGAUGAAGAGUUCAGAGAAAACAACACUGAGAUUCUGUCUCGGUUCUAUCUGGCCUUUGAGAGCGUUCACAAGUACAUAGUUGAUCUGAACAGAUAUUUAGAUGACCUAAAUGAUGGAGUUUAUAUUCAACAGACCUUAGAAACUGUUCUUCUGAAUGAAGAUGGGAAACAGCUACUAUGUGAGGCUCUCUAUCUGUAUGGAGUCAUGUUGUUGGUCAUUGACCAGAAGAUCGAAGGAGAGGUCAGAGAGCGGAUGCUUGUUUCCUAUUACAGAUACAGUGCUGCCCGCUCAUCAGUUGACUCCAACCUGGAUGACAUUUGUAAACUCCUGCGCAGCACCGGUUUCUCCAGCCAGCCUGGAGCCAAACGACCAGCCAGCUACCCAGACAGCUACUUCCAGAGGGUUCCCAUAAGCGCCACUUUCAUCAGCAUGGUCAUCGGGAGGCUGCGCUCCGACGACAUCUACAACCAGGUGUCUGCCUACCCUCUACCUGAGCAUCGAAGCACGGCGCUAGCUAACCAGGCAGCAAUGCUCUAUGUGUGUCUGUUCUUCAGCCCCUCCAUCCUGCAUACCCAACAGGCCAAGAUGAGGGAGAUCGUAGACAAGUACUUCCCUGAUAACUGGGUUAUCAGUAUCUACAUGGGCAUCACUGUCAACUUGGUGGAGGCCUGGGAGCCAUACAAAGCCGCUAAAACAGCUCUUAACUAUACCCUGGACUCUGCUAAUAUAAAAGAGCAGGCCACUCGCUACGCUGCCAGUUUGGAGAGCCAGAGGUCUCAGGUGCAGCAGCGGCUGAAGGAAGGUUUCCUCAGGGAGGAGAUCAUCCUGGACCACAUUCCCAAACUACUCAACUGUCUCAGGGACUGCAACGUGGCCAUCCGCUGGCUGAUGCUGCACUCUGCAGAGUCAGCCUACGACUUAAACAACAAGCGCCUGCGUCAGGUCAGGGAUCAAGUGCUCAGCGACUCCAAGUACAAACCAAAGAUCCUGUUCCAGCUGCUGCUGGACACAGCUCAGUUUGAGUUCAUGCUCAAAGAGAUGUUCAAGCAGAUGCUGUCAGAGAAGCAGCUCAAGUGGGAGAGCUACAAGAAAGAAGGAUCUGAGAGGAUGACCGAGCUGGCUGAAGUCUUCUCCGGCGUCAAACCUCUUACUCGGGUGGAGAAAAACGAAAACUUACAGGCGUGGUUCCGGGAAAUCUCAAAGCAGAUCGAGUCUUUGAACUAUGAGGACUCCACAGCCGCUGGGAGGAAGACGGCACAGCUGAUACAGGCGCUCAUUGAGGUGCAGGAGUUUCACCAGCUGGAGUCGAACCUGCAGGUAUGUCAGUUUUUGGCCGAUACCAGAAAGUUCCUGCACCAGAUGAUCCGCACCAUCAACAUCAAGGAGGAGGUCUUGAUCACCAUGCAGAUAGUUGGAGAUCUGUCCUACGCUUGGCAGAUUAUUGACAGCUUUACCUCUAUCAUGCAGGAGAGCAUCAGAGUCAGCCCGCCCAUGGUCACCAAGCUGAGAGCUACUUUUCUGAAGCUGGCGUCUGCCUUGGAUCUCCCGUUGCUGCGCAUCAACCAGGCCAACAGCGCAGACCUGCUGAGUGUCUCGCAGUUCUACUCUGGAGAGCUGGUGGCCUAUGUCAGAAAGGUGCUUCAGAUAAUCCCAGAGAGCAUGUUCACCUCUCUGGCUAAAAUCAUCAAACUUCAGAUCCACGACAUCAUGGAGGUUCCCACGCGGCUGGAUAAGGACAAGUUAAAGGACUACUCCCAGCUGGGGGCUCGCUAUGAAGUGGCAAAGCUCACUCAUGACAUCUCCAUUUUCACUGAGGGCAUCUUGAUGAUGAAGACAACUCUAGUUGGGAUCAUUAAAGUGGAUCCUAAGCAGCUUCUGGAGGAUGGCAUCAGGAAGGAGCUAGUAAAGAGAGUGGCUUAUGCUUUACACAAAGGCCUAAUCUUCAACCCCAAGGCUAAGCCCAGUGAACUCAUGCCCAAGUUGAAGGAGAUGGCAGCAACCAUGGACGGCUUCUACAGGUCGUUUGAGUACAUCCAGGACUACGUCAGCAUUUAUGGCCUCAAAAUCUGGCAGGAGGAAGUGUCUCGCAUCAUCAACUACAACGUGGAGCAGGAGUGCAACAGUUUCCUCAGGACAAAGAUCCAGGACUGGCAGAGUGUGCACCAGUCCACUCACAUACCCAUUCCAAAGUUUGCCUCCGUGGAUGAGUCUGCCACCUUCAUCGGUCGUCUCUGCAGAGAAAUCUUAAGAAUCACGGAUCCAAAGGUGACAUGCUACAUGGACCAGAUGAACACCUGGUACGACUUGAAGAGCCACCAGGAGGUGACCAAUAACAGGGUGUUCUCUGAGAUCCAGAACACUUUAGGGACCUUCGGUCUGAACGGACUGGACCGACUCCUCUGCUUCAUGAUCGUCAAGGAGCUUCAGAACUUCCUGACGAUGCUUCAGAAGACCAUCCUGAGAGACAAAGCUGCUGUGGACGUCUUUAAAGCAAUGGUGGCUGCUGUUAACCCGGUCCAAGGUAUUGUGGCUAAUUCCACUAAAGUGUACACAAGUGCUGUUGCCAAGUCUCAGAAGAUCUGGGGUUCUUAUCUGGAAUCCAUCAUGAAGUGUCUGUUUGUUGCAGGUUGGUCAGAUGCAGAUUCUCAGACAGCAGAUUGCCAACGAGUUAAACUUCUCCUGCAAGUUUGACUCCAAACAUCUGGGUGCUGCCCUGGAAAACCUCAACAAGUCUCUCCUAGCAGACAUUGAAGCUCACUACCAGGACCCGACAUUUCCAUACCCCAAAGAGGACAACACUCUGCUGUAUGAGAUCACUGCCUACCUGGAGGCUGCUGGCAUCCACAACCCCCUCAACAAGAUCUACAUCACAACAAAGCGUCUCCCAUACUUCCCCAUCAUCAACUUCUUGUUUGUUAUUGCUCAGUUGCCUAAACUUCAGUACAGCAAAAACCAAG
This is an RNA transcript of Nothobranchius furzeri (turquoise killifish), 4913 nucleotides long. It is a transcript of the gene named WASH complex subunit 5, with no coding region annotated. The record is from RefSeq and is a predicted model, not a curated record. NCBI's taxonomy places the organism in Eukaryota, Metazoa, Chordata, Actinopteri, Cyprinodontiformes, Nothobranchiidae.